RNAcentral lists this ribosomal RNA (764 nucleotides) under uncultured phototrophic eukaryote. RNAcentral describes it as "bacterial SSU rRNA". It matches the Rfam family "Bacterial small subunit ribosomal RNA", at positions 520 to 1294 of the family's 1533-position model. The record is from RNAcentral.
GUAUCGGGGGAUGCAAGCGUUAUCCGGAAUCAUUGGGCGUAAAGCGCCUGUAGGUUGUUUAAUAAGUCUGUUGUUAAAGACUAGGGCUUAACCCUAGAAAAGCAAUGGAAACUACUAGACUAGAGUAUGGCAGGGGUAGAGGGAAUUUCUAGUGUAGCGGUGAAAUGCGUAGAUAUUAGAAAGAACACCGGUGGCGAAAGCGCUCUACUGGACCAUUACUGACACUCAGAGGCGAAAGCUAGGGUAGCAAAAGGGAUUAGAUACCCCUGUAGUCCUAGCCGUAAACGAUGGAUACUAGAUGUUGUGCUUAAUGUACAGUAUCGUAGCUAACGCGUUAAGUAUCCCGCCUGGGGAGUACGCUCGCAAGGGUGAAACUCAAAGGAAUUGACGGGGGCCCGCACAAGCGGUGGAGCAUGUGGUUUAAUUCGAUGCAACGCGAAGAACCUUACCAGGGCUUGACAUACUACAAAUUCUUUAGAGAUAGAGAAGUGCCUUCGGGAAUGUAGAUACAGGUGGUGCAUGGCUGUCGUCAGCUCGUGUCGUGAGAUGUUGGGUUAAGUCCCGCAACGAGCGCAACCCUUAUUUUUAGUUACCAACUUGUUGGGUUUUCUAGAAAGACUGCCGGUGACAAACCGGAGGAAGGUGAGGAUGACGUCAAGUCAGCAUGCCCCUUAUGUCCUGGGCUACACACGUGCUACAAUGGCUAAGACAAAGAGUCGCGAACUUGCAAAAGUCAGCUAAUCUCAUAAACUUAGUCUAAGUCA